RNAcentral lists this long non-coding RNA (1537 nucleotides) under Ailuropoda melanoleuca (giant panda). Its description in RNAcentral is "lncRNA (ENSAMEG00000028625.1)". Lineage: Eukaryota; Metazoa; Chordata; Mammalia; Carnivora; Ursidae. The record is from RNAcentral.
CUGCCCCUCGGUGUCUCGUCAUUGCUACGCAGCUGAAUUCUGGCUAAAAUGAACGAUGAAAGAGGGAAGGAGAAACAAUGGAAUGGGAGUCUCAGAGGUGUGUGCUCUGCGGCUGCCCUUCAUGCCCGCGCCCACUGCGGAGUCCUCUGGAAGGCUGCACCUCUAAUUGCCUACUGGUUAUUCUGGGUUUUUUAAACCAGCCGCUGGUCCACACCUGCACCUUCCCGUCUGCCUCUGCUGCAGUCCUCAGACUGCCUUGUCCUUAUCACCAGGGCGGUGUUGGGGGCCCGAGGGACCCCGAUGGUAAACCAGGAUCAUAGCCCUGCUUGCUGCCGGGCAUGGGGAAGGACGGCCACGUCUAGAGUGCCAUGAGCACGAUUUCAAAUGUCACUCUGUCGCCACACCCUGCUCAACGCCCCUCAACUCCGCGCCCUGCCUCGUGGGGAGCUGCUCCCUGGGCACGUCCUCGGCCGGACCAGGCUCCUGAGCCUCAUGGCUUUUUUACCCACAACUUGGGCUCAAAACGAAGUGAAACCUGAUUAGGAAAUGAUGUCAAGAGAAAAAGCAAUGCUGAAUUUGCUUUCUGGUGAGUCCGAGAUAAAGAGCCAUCGCAGUCCUUCUAUGGGAGCAGGAGGGGACACCGGGUCACGCCACCAGGUGUCUGAGAGCAGGAGAGACACACCAGAUCAUGCCAUCAGUAGAGCCCAGGUAGUACCCCUGUGGGAAAAAUCAGCCACGGGAUGCAAGGUGACGGCAACCUGCACUCCCAUCACAUCGACACGAGUGCAAUCCAUGCUGCUCCCCGUCCUGGGGCCUUGCCUUGGCACAGUGAAGAGGAUCCCAAGCAGAGGACCGGGGAAGACUCACAUCGGCAUCAGUGCGCUCUGGAAUGUUCCUUGGCUCCCACAUCACAGUCAAUCUGCUGCCUCAUCCAGGACAAGACCAAGGUCAGGGGACAAGGAAAACUCUGGAAGUCUGGGAUGCCCUUUGCCCUGCACAAGUCCUAGUGGAGCCUUGCUACGCCAUUGAUACUCACAAGCGUCCUCUUGCACAGUUAAUAAAUGGGGAUGUUUCAGGUAUUUUCUCUGGAGAUUAAUGAUAUAAAUAAAGCAUAAUUAAUUACAUUUUAAAUUUGAUUUUCAGUACAUUUUAAAUGAUCACAAAACCUAAUCUGUCCUAUUAAUUUUUACUGAAUUCAAUGACACUGAGUAAGUUGCUUUGGGUUAUUUCCUCACCGGGACAUUACACAUUUUCCUAAAAAAUGGCACCUUUCUGAGCCUGGGCAGGGACUCCUCUCUCACACGCACUUAGCAGUGAAAUCUGUCAGUGGUCUUUCACUAAUUGCUUUUGUUACUUUUAGAGAAAACUGAUUUUCUUCAUAAUUUGUUAACUGCAAUUUUCUCCAGUGACUAAAAGUCCAGAAAAAAGUAAAGAAUAUCAAAAUGAUUACAUAACCAAGACCAAAGGCUAAGUUAGAUUAAAGAAUUAAAUAGGUUUCAGUUAGGUAAACAUUAACUAAGUAGAGUGAGCAUUGCAG